CUCAGAUGUUGAACGUGAAGGAUAACGUUGCGUCAGCAACGGCCCGAAGGGCGAGGCGAAGCCGAGUCAUCCUGCACGACGAUAACGUUGCGUCAGCAACGGCCCGAAGGGCGAGGCGAAGCCGAGUCAUCCUGCACGACCCACCA
This 146-nucleotide small RNA is filed under the name Klebsiella pneumoniae. Its description in RNAcentral is "RtT sRNA". It matches the Rfam family "RtT RNA". From Rfam's summary of the family: This family represents a bacterial cis-regulatory element known as RtT RNA. The exact function of RtT is unknown although it is thought that it may be involved in changing the cellular response in relation to amino acid starvation. Lineage: Bacteria; Pseudomonadati; Pseudomonadota; Gammaproteobacteria; Enterobacterales; Enterobacteriaceae. The record is from RNAcentral.